AGCGAACGCUGGCGGCAGGCCUAACACAUGCAAGUCGAACGAACUCUUCGGAGUUAGUGGCGGACGGGUGAGUAACACGUGGGAACGUGCCUUUAGGUUCGGAAUAACUCAGGGAAACUUGUGCUAAUACCGAAUGUGCCCUUCGGGGGAAAGAUUUAUCGCCUUUAGAGCGGCCCGCGUCUGAUUAGCUAGUUGGUGAGGUAAAGGCUCACCAAGGCGACGAUCAGUAGCUGGUCUGAGAGGAUGAUCAGCCACAUUGGGACUGAGACACGGCCCAAACUCCUACGGGAGGCAGCAGUGGGGAAUCUUGCGCAAUGGGCGAAAGCCUGACGCAGCCAUGCCGCGUGAAUGAUGAAGGUCUUAGGAUUGCAAAAUUCUUUCACCGGGGACGAUAAUGACGGUACCCGGAGAAGAGGCCCCGGCUAACUUCGUG
RNAcentral lists this ribosomal RNA (433 nucleotides) under uncultured bacterium. RNAcentral describes it as "partial 16S ribosomal RNA". It matches the Rfam family "Bacterial small subunit ribosomal RNA", at positions 29 to 507 of the family's 1533-position model. The record is from RNAcentral.